This 702-nucleotide ribosomal RNA is filed under the name Triticum aestivum (bread wheat). RNAcentral describes it as "partial small subunit ribosomal RNA". Lineage: Eukaryota; Viridiplantae; Streptophyta; Magnoliopsida; Poales; Poaceae. The record is from RNAcentral.
AUGGCAGGUAACAAUGUGGCGUGGCAGCCCCAAGUUGUAGAUGAAAUGCUAUGUUACUACAAAGAGAAGAUUCGGUCUGAGGGAAAACAAGUUGUCUUCAAAGAGAUGCACCAUGAGGAGUGUGGAAAACAAACCAAUGCAAUGUUUACCACUGCCUUCACAAAAAGGCAAGUUUAUCAGAAGUUUCAUAAGCUGAAAGAUCAGUGGAAGAACAAAGACAAAAGGGCAAAAUAUAUCAAUGUGCCUAUUGCCAACUUCGAUGAGAUGGAGUUCAUAUUUCAGGAUAAGCAUGCUACCGGAGAGUUCACGGUCCUUCAAACACCCUAUGACCGUGUUCAUGCUCGUGACAAGUAUUUUGUUGGUGACAUCGAGAAGAAUGCGAUUCAUGUUGAUCCUGCAACACAAUAUGAUUCAUAUCGUCUUCCUGAUGACACCAAUGAUGAAAGCUCAUCUUUGAAGUGUCCUAGAGGUGGCAAACGCGAUAAAGGUAAGAGUAAGUGUGAUGAGAGUGUAGUCCGAGACAUGACACGGUCUCUGCUUGAUAUGUCGGAUAAUAUGCGUUUCACACAUACAUCUUUGGCCACCAAUGAACAAGUCGCCUCCAUGUUGAAAGGGAGGCCGAUGGCUGCUAUUCAAGAGUUUGUGUGGCGUUGGGUCGGUGAUAACUUUCCUGAACACGUUCGUUUUCCUCCUAACAUGUGA